AGAUAGGCCAGAUGUGUAAGUGGCGCAAUCCACGCAGCUGACUGGUACUAAUAGGCCGAGGACUUGACUUAA
This 72-nucleotide ribosomal RNA is filed under the name Sporomusa malonica. Its description in RNAcentral is "23S rRNA. Bacterial LSU". Lineage: Bacteria; Bacillati; Bacillota; Negativicutes; Selenomonadales; Sporomusaceae. The record is from RNAcentral.